CCAGACUCCUACGGGAGGCAGCAGUGGGGGAUAUUGCACAAUGGGGGGAACCCUGAUGCAGCAACGCCGCGUGAGUGAAGAAGUCAUUCGUGAUGUAAAGCUCUAUCAGCAGGGAAGAAAAUGACGGUACCUGAGUAAGAAGCCCCGGCUGACUACGUGCCAGCAGCCGCGGUAAUACGUAGGGGGCAAGCGUUAUCCGGAUUUACUGGGUGUAAAGGGAGCGUAGACGGCGAUGCAAGUCUGAAGUGAAAGGCGGGGGCCCAACCCCCGGACUGCUUUGGAAACUGUAUAGCUGGAGUGCAGGAGAGGUAAGUGGAAUUCCUAGUGUAGCGGUGAAAUGCGUAGAUAUUAGGAGGAACACCAGUGGCGAAGGCGGCUUACUGGACUGUAACUGACGUUGAGGCUCGAAAGCGUGGGGAGCAAACAGGAUUAGAUACCCGUGUACUC
Molecule: ribosomal RNA, 447 nt
Filed under: uncultured bacterium
Lineage: Bacteria
Description: bacterial SSU rRNA
Rfam family: Bacterial small subunit ribosomal RNA
Source: RNAcentral